GACGAACGCUGGCGGCGUGCUUAACACAUGCAAGUCGAACGGAAAGGCCCUGCUUUUGUGGGGUGCUCGAGUGGCGAACGGGUGAGUAACACGUGAGUAACCUGCCCUUGACUUUGGGAUAACUUCAGGAAACUGGGGCUAAUACCGGAUAGGAGCUCCUGCUGCAUGGUGGGGGUUGGAAAGUUUCGGCGGUUGGGGAUGGACUCGCGGCUUAUCAGCUUGUUGGUGGGGUAGUGGCUUACCAAGGCUUUGACGGGUAGCCGGCCUGAGAGGGUGACCGGCCACAUGGGGACUGGGAUACGGCCCAGACUCCUACGGGAGGCAGCGGUGGGGAAUAUUGCACAAUGGGCGGAAGCCUGAUGCAGCAACGCCGCGUGCGGGAUGACGGCCUUCGGGUUGUAACCGCUUUCGCCUGUGACGAAGCGUGAGUGACGGUAAUGGGUAAAGAAGCACCGGCUAACUACGUG
Molecule: ribosomal RNA, 467 nt
Filed under: uncultured bacterium
Lineage: Bacteria
Description: partial 16S ribosomal RNA
Rfam family: Bacterial small subunit ribosomal RNA
Source: RNAcentral